Molecule: non-coding RNA, 3318 nt
Organism: Callorhinus ursinus (northern fur seal)
Lineage: Eukaryota; Metazoa; Chordata; Mammalia; Carnivora; Otariidae
Source: RefSeq, a predicted model, not a curated record
CCAAGCGACCCCUCGGGCCAGCCGGUCCUCGGGCCAGCGGACCCACGGAAGGGCAAGCAGGCGGCCCCUGGGCGGCGGGACGGUCGUCGGAGGGCGGCGCCCACGCCGAAGCCCCCUUCCCAGGCCCCCGACAUGGCCCGGGGUGGCGGUCAGAGCUGGAGCUCCGGGGAGUCCGACGGGCCGCCGGAGGAGCGGGCGGCCGAGAAGACCGGAGACAAGAUGGUGAAGGAGACCCAGUACUAUGACAUCCUGGGGGUGAAGCCCAGCGCGUCCCCGGAGGAGAUCAAGAAGGCCUACCGGAAGCUGGCGCUCAAGUACCACCCGGACAAGAACCCGGAUGAGGGCGAGACGUUCAAGCUCAUAUCCCAGGCAUAUGAAGUGCUUUCAGAUCCAAAGAAGAGGGACAUUUAUGACCAGGGUGGUGAACAGGCGAUUAAGGAAGGAGGCUCAGGCAGCCCCAGCUUCUCUUCACCCAUGGAUAUCUUUGACAUGUUUUUUGGGGGCGGGGGACGGAUGGCUAGAGAGAGAAGAGGCAAGAAUGUUGUCCAUCAGUUGUCUGUAACUCUUGAAGAUUUGUAUAAUGGAGUCACAAAGAAGUUGGCCCUCCAGAAAAAUGUAAUUUGUGAGAAAUGUGAAGGCGUCGGUGGGAAGAAGGGGUCUGUGGAGAAGUGUCCCCUGUGCAAGGGCCGCGGGAUGCAGAUCCACAUCCAGCAGAUCGGGCCGGGCAUGGUGCAGCAGAUCCAGACCGUGUGCAUCGAGUGCAAGGGCCAGGGGGAGCGCAUCAACCCCAAGGACCGCUGCGACAGCUGCAGCGGCACCAAGGUGAUCCGCGAGAAGAAGAUCAUCGAGGUGCACGUGGAGAAAGGUAUGAAAGAUGGGCAAAAGAUACUGUUUCAUGGAGAAGGAGAUCAGGAGCCUGAGCUGGAGCCUGGCGAUGUCAUAAUUGUGCUUGAUCAGAAGGAUCAUAGUGUCUUUCAGAGGCGAGGCCACGACUUGAUCAUGAAAAUGAAAAUUCAGCUUUCUGAAGCCCUCUGUGGCUUCAAGAAGACGAUAAAAACGCUGGACGAUCGAGUUCUCGUCAUCACGUCCAAGUCGGGCGAGGUGAUAAAGCACGGGGACCUGAGGUGUGUGCAUAACGAAGGGAUGCCCAUCUACAAGGCACCCCUGGAGAAGGGGACUCUGAUCAUCCAGUUUCUAGUCGUCUUUCCCGAGAAACACUGGCUUCCUCAAGACAAGCUUCCGCAGCUGGAGGCCCUGCUGCCCCCGCGGCAGAAGGUGAGGGUCACGGACGACAUGGACCAGGUGGAGCUGAAGGAGUUCAACCCCAGCGAGCAGAACUGGCGGCAGCAGCGGGAGGCCUAUGAGGAGGACGACGACGACGGGCCGCGGGCCGGGGUGCAGUGCCAGACGGCGUGAGCGGCCGGGCGGACUAGCGCGCCCCGGGUGUAACGUUGGCACCAUGAAAACGGCAUCGCCUGUUGGCCUCGUAUCUGGCGUGUCCUGUGAUACGUUUGAGAGGCCCGUGACCGCACUGACACUUGCUUCUGGGGGCUUUGCCGGGUCGUCGGCCAGUGUGGCCAGUGAGGCCCCUCGCAGGGCGCUGGGCAGUGCCUGCGGGCGCGGCUCCCCUGCCCCCCGCCCCUCCCGGGGCUGCCGAAUCUAGACUCAUUAGAUGACGCUCCUCCAGACAAAAGCACAUCUGUGGCCUGGGCUGGGCCCCAGCGCCUGGUCCACACGGGGCUGCUGCUCUGGGGCUGCAACAGGUGCAUGAGCAUCUCUCGGAAGCUUCCGGAAGCUUCCCAGCCCUGUGGUGAGGACAAACCAGUACUCUGAACACAGCGCCGACAUAACUGUUUGCCUGGGGCCCCGCACUUUGUUGCUCGCGGUUGUGAUGAUUUUCUGUUGGCAGUCUUUGCGACACUCUUCCACCGAAGUGCUUACCGUAAAGGACACCCCCCACGUGCCGCGGAGCCUCCUGGCCGUGGCUCAGGCCUCGGGAGCUGCAGCCUGGCUGGGGAGGCAGACAUCCGUCUGCACCCGCUCCCAGGGAUGUCUCCUCCGGCUGCAGGGCCACAGGAUGCGGGGCCUCCUGCUUGGGACGCGGUUCUGGCAAGAAGCGCGCUGCCCGAGCUCCGCUGGGCACAGUGGUGAGGGCAGCCUGCCCGGAGGGACAGUCCUCACUGCUUCACUCCCAGCAGGCAGCCCUCCCCUGGUUCUGUAGAAGCGGAGAGUCUGACACAGACCAGGGGCCGCCGCAGGAGGGCAGAGGGGCCCAUGAGGCCCCCGCAGUCGGGGUGCGCUGGCUUUGGGGGGGGGCCAGGCUCCAGCAGGACCCAUGCGGGCGGGUGCCACUUGCUCAAAAUAGGGCCCGCUCUGACCGUUGGUCAGGACAAAUCUAAAACCUACUCUUCCAACCCAGCCUGUGUGAAAACCCAUGUACAAAUGGACCCCAACUCCAGGGAGUCCCGUCCGUGCCGCGACUUCCUGAUCAUCACCACAGAGCUACUGCUGAUGGGGGGCUCUGUUCAGCUCCAGAUUCCUGGGCAUGGAGACAGGAUCUGGCGGGUGUUCCUUCAAACUCACUCCACCUGUACAUCUGUCCCUUCGAAAUUAAACCUGAGCUGGGAUGAGAGACAAAUGGCUCUGGUUGUUUACAUUUUCUCGAGCCCCACCGAGGGCGUUAAGUGCCAGCCUGCCUCACACUGGUGGACGGGAGCUCGUACCUGGGGUGGGGGUGAGUGCCGACGCUCACUCCAUGGAAGAGACGUCCCUGGCUCUGGUUACAGGAGGGCCAACAAGGCCAGGAGGCAGGAGAGGGGUGCGGGCUUCAUCCUGAGAGCGAUGGGUUUGGGGGACAAACGUGCAACCUCACAGGCAUAGGAAGUCGUUAAUAAAAAGCAACAAGCUUCAGAGUGUGAACCAUUUCCACACAAGCCCCGCUGAAGGGGUAACGGAGGCGGGGCUUGGAGACUGUGGAUGCCGUGGAGGCAGCCUCCUCCACCGCAGGCCACAGCCCUGUCUGAAGGCCGACGGGUGCGGCAGGCGAGGUCUUCAGGGUAUCAGUAGACAUUCAGAUAGGCAGGACUCCAGAACAUUCCCACCUGGGGAAAUUCCCUGUUCCCUUCAGGACCCCAUUCUGAAACCAAGAGCUGCUUCGUCCCCACGUCUGCAGGGCUCAACCCUCUGGAGAGCCAGCCUGCACUUCUCAGCUGGGAGGUUCGGUGACUGCCCGGAUCGCAUCAUCACUGGGGCAGGUACUCCCCCCACUCUCCCACCCACAACAGGGCAGCUGGAAAAGCCCGUUCAUGGACACGGUGU